CCUGCCUCGGUCUGGAAGACGCGCGGGCGCUCGAGGAGCUCGCUUUCCGGCCCAGGUGUCCGGGGCCCUAGAGGCGCGAAGCUAGCCUUGCUCGGCGGAGCCCGCAUGCGCACAGGGGCUUUCGCGUUUGCUCGGCACUUCCCACCAGCGCGCAGCUUGAACUGGCAUCCUGCUAGAGGGUCAUAAUCCGGGGUUCACACUCACCGUGACCUGUCCUGGAUGGAGGAGCGAAUUCAACUCCUGGGGCACUCCUGAGAGUCGGGCACUCCUGCUAGGACUUUACGUUUCCCUAAGUCCAAAGAAGCACUGGCGGAAGCUGACCUCUCCAAGGAGAAUGCUGCUGAGAUGCCGAGGCUGGACACGGGGAGGGGACAGAAGGGAGUUCGCUUUGUCAGAAACUCAGCAAAACAGGGAAGAAGGAGCAGCAAUCUGUGGUCAGAAGCCACUGUGUGUUGCAGAGUGCAGAGCCCUGCUGCGAACUGGUGAACCACAAGCCCCGGCUACCUCCUUUACCAGCUCUGUGGCCACAGACCUAUAUCAUACAACGAGACCUGGAGUCUAGAGCAGAUGCUGCCACACCAAAGUUAUAUGGGGUAAGCAAAUAAUGCAAACACAGACCCAGGGAUACACGAAGUCUGAAGGUUAAGGGCAUACAGAAGAUGUCACUGAAUAUAAAAAUAUAUAGGGAAUGAAUUUGCAAAGGGUAUUCUAAUGUCUCUGGCAUAGCCAGGGCCAGUCUGUGCCAAGACUAGGAAAGACC
This is a long non-coding RNA of Fukomys damarensis (Damara mole-rat), 760 nucleotides long. RefSeq lists it as uncharacterized. The record is from RefSeq and is a predicted model, not a curated record. The transcript is spliced from 5 exons. NCBI's taxonomy places the organism in Eukaryota, Metazoa, Chordata, Mammalia, Rodentia, Bathyergidae.